AGGGUUCGAUUAUGGCUCAGGAUGAACGCUGACAGAAUGCUUAACACAUGCAAGUCUACUUGAUCCUUCGGGUGAAGGUGGCGGACGGGUGAGUAACGCGUAGAGAACUUGCCUUACAGACUGGGACAACAUUUGGAAACGAAUGCUAAUACCGGAUAUUAUGAUUGGGUCCCAUGAUCUGGUUAUGAAAGCUAUAUGCGCUGUGAGAGAGCUUUGCGUCCCAUUAGUUAGUUGGUGUGGUAACGGCUCACCAAGACGAUGAUGGGUAGCCGGCCUGAGAGGGUGAACGGCCACAAGGGGACUGAGACACGGCCCUU
This 317-nucleotide ribosomal RNA is filed under the name uncultured bacterium. RNAcentral's name for it is "bacterial SSU rRNA". It matches the Rfam family "Bacterial small subunit ribosomal RNA", at positions 8 to 334 of the family's 1533-position model. The record is from RNAcentral.